UGACUGGUGUUUACCAGACAGGCGAGUAAGACAGUGUGACUGGUAUGUACUGUACUGGUGAGUUAGACAGUGUGCCUGGUGUGUACCAGACAGGUGAGUUAGACAGUAUGACUGGUGUGUACCAGACAGGCGAGUAAGACAGUGUGACUGGUGUGUACUGGACAGGGGAGUUAGACAGUGUGACAGGUGUGUACUGGACAGGUGAGUUAGCCAGUGUGAUGUGUGUGUACUGGACAGGUGAGUUAGACAGUGUGACUGGUAUGUACUGGACAGGUGAGUAAGACAGUGUGACUGGUGUGUACUGGACAGGUGAGUUAGACAGUGUGACAGGUGUGUACUGGACAGGUGAGUUAGACAGUGUGACUGGUCUGUACUGGACAGGUGAGUAAGACAGUGUGACUGGGGUGUACUGGACAGGUGAGUUAGACAGUGUGAUGUGUGUGUACUGGACAGGUGAGUUACACAGUGUGACUGGUGUGUACUGGACAGGUGAGUAAGACAGUGUGACUUGUGUGUACUGGACAGGUGAGUUAGACAGUGUGACUGGUAUGUACUGGACAGGUGAGUAAGACAGUGUGACUGGUGUGUACUGGACAGGCGAGUUAGACAGUGUGACUGGUAUGUACUGGACAGGUGAGUAAGACAGUGUGACUGGUGUGUACUGUACAGGUGAGUUAGACAGUGUGACUGGUGUGUACUUGACAAGUGAGUUAGACAGUAUGACUGGUGUGUACUGGACAGGUGAAUUAAACAGUGUGACUGGUGUGUACUGGACAGGUGUGUUACACAGUGUGACUGGUGUGUACUGGACAGGCGAGUUAGACAGUGUGACUGGUAUGUACUGGACAGGUGAGUUAGACAGUGUGACUGGUCUGUACUGGACAGGUGAGUAAGACAGUGUGACUUGUGUGUACUGGACAGGUGAGUUAGACAGUGUGACUGGUGUGUACUUGACAAGUGAGUUAGACAGUAUGACUGGUGUGUACUGGACAGGUGAGUUAAACAGUGUGACUGGUGUGUACUGGACAGGUGAGUUAGACAGUGUGACUGGUGUGUACUGGACAGGUGAGUAAGACAGUGUGACUGGUGUGUACUGAACAGGCGAGUUGGACAGUGUGACUGGUGUGUACUGCACUGGUGAGUUAGACAAUGUGACUGGUGUGUACUGGACAGGUGUGUUACACAGUGUGACUGGUGUGUACUGGACAGACGAGUUAGACAGUGUGACUUGUAUGUACUGGACAGGUGAGUUACACCGUGUGACUGGUGUGUACUGUACUGGUGAGUUAGACAGUGUGACUGGUGUGUACUGGACAGGUGAGUAAGACAGUGUGACUAGUAUGUACUGUACUUGUGAGUAAGACAGUGUGACUGGUAUGUACUGUACUUGUGAGUAAGACAGUGUGACUGGUGUGUACUGGACAGGUGAGUUAGACAGUGUGACAGGUAUGUACUGGACAGGUGAGUUACGCAGUGUGACUGGUGUGUACUGGACAGGUGAGUAAGACAGUGUGACUAGUAUGUACUGUACUGGUGAGUAAGACAGUGUGACUGGUGUGUACUGUACUGGUGAGUUAGACAGUGUGACUGGUAUGUACUGUACUGGUGAGUUCCACAGUGUGACUGGUGUGUACCAGACAGGCGAGUAAGACAGGGUGACUGGUGUGUACUGGACAGGUGAGUAAGACAGUGUGACUGGUGUGUACUGAACAGGGGAGUUGGACAGUGUGACUGGUGUGUACUGCACAGGUGAGUUACACAGUGUGACUGGUGUGUACUGUAGUGGUGAGUUAGAAAAUGUGACUGGUGUGUACUGGACAGGUGUGUUACACAGUGUGACUGGUGUGUACUGGACAGGCGAGUUAGACAGUGUGACUUGUGUGUACUUGACAGGUGAGUUACAUCGUGUGACUGGUGUGUACUGUACUGGUGAGUUAGACAGUGUGACUGGUGUGUACUGGACAGGUGAGUUACACAGUGUGACUGUGUGUACUG
Molecule: long non-coding RNA, 1995 nt
Organism: Mizuhopecten yessoensis (Yesso scallop)
Lineage: Eukaryota; Metazoa; Mollusca; Bivalvia; Pectinida; Pectinidae
Exons: 3
Source: RefSeq, a predicted model, not a curated record